AAUGUAUGAGAAAUUCCUCCAUUAUAACGACUAUUAAUUAGAGUCCGCUAAUCUGUUUGAGGGCGUGAGCAUAGUAUUUCAAUUUACUAAGAAGCUGACCGUAUUAGGUGCACUAAUUCAUCCAGGUGAGAUCAGUGGGGGUUGAUCUUCACCAUAUGUUAGUCUUCACCCCGACAUGCCCCCCCCCCCCCCCCCCAAACUUAUUUUNNNNNNNNNNNCCCACAUAGCAUUUUUCUGGGGUCUUCAAAAUCAGAAAGAAAUGUAUAGUUCUGUAACUUAUGUACAGGCAGUGCCAGCGGAAUAUGAUAUGUGAGAGCAAAUUUUUUGGGGCCAUGUUGCGUCUCUCUCUAAUUUCA
Molecule: long non-coding RNA, 356 nt
Filed under: Olea europaea (common olive)
Lineage: Eukaryota; Viridiplantae; Streptophyta; Magnoliopsida; Lamiales; Oleaceae
Description: long non-coding RNA (OEUR_LNC014893)
Source: RNAcentral